UGAGUAACCUGCCCUUCACUCUGGGAUAACUCCGGGAAACCGGGGCUAAUACUGGAUAUGACUCGAACAGGCAUCUGUUUCGGGUGGAAAGAUUUAUUGGUGGAGGAUGGACUCGCGGCCUAUCAGCUUGUUGGUGAGGUAAUGGCUCACCAAGGCGACGACGGGUAGCCGGCCUGAGAGGGCGAUCGGCCACACUGGGACUGAGACACGGCCCAGACUCCUACGGGAGCG
This 231-nucleotide ribosomal RNA is filed under the name uncultured bacterium. RNAcentral describes it as "partial 16S ribosomal RNA". It matches the Rfam family "Bacterial small subunit ribosomal RNA", at positions 118 to 347 of the family's 1533-position model. The record is from RNAcentral.